This 460-nucleotide ribosomal RNA is filed under the name uncultured bacterium. RNAcentral describes it as "partial 16S ribosomal RNA". It matches the Rfam family "Bacterial small subunit ribosomal RNA", at positions 338 to 795 of the family's 1533-position model. The record is from RNAcentral.
CCUACGGGAGGCAGCAGUGAGGAAUAUUGGUCAAUGGACGAGAGUCUGAACCAGCCAAGUAGCGUGAAGGAUGACUGCCCUAUGGGUUGUAAACUUCUUUUAUAAAGGAAUAAAACGAGGCACGUGUGCCUGUUUGCAUGUACUUUAUGAAUAAGGAUCGGCUAACUCCGUGCCAGCAGCCGCGGUAAUACUGAGGAUCCGAGCGUUAUCCGGAUUUAUUGGGUUUAAAGGGAGCGUAGAUGGGUUGUUAAGUUAGUUGUGAAAGUUUGAGGCUCAACCGUAGAAUUGCAAUUGAUACUGGUCGGCUUGAGUGUAGUUGAGGUAGGCGGAAUGCGUGGUGUAGCGGUGAAAUGCUUAGAGAUCACGCAGAACCCCGAUUGCGAAGGCAGCUUACUAAGCUGUGACUGACAUUGAUGCUCGAAAGUGUGGGUAUCAAACAGGAUUAGAUACCCGAGUAGUC